UACGUAGGGUGCGAGCGUUGCCCGGAAUUAUUGGGCGUAAAGCGCGUGUAGGCGGCUUUGCAAGUCGGGUGUGAAAGCCCUCAGCUCAACUGAGGAAGUGCGCCCGAAACUGCAGAGCUUGAGUACCGGAGAGGAUGGCGGAAUUCCCCAAGUAGAGGUGAAAUUCGUAGAUAUGGGGAGGAACACCGGUGGCGAAGGCGGCCAUCUGGACGGAUACUGACGCUGAGACGCGAAAGCGUGGGUAGCAAACAGG
Molecule: ribosomal RNA, 253 nt
Filed under: uncultured bacterium
Lineage: Bacteria
Description: partial 16S ribosomal RNA
Rfam family: Bacterial small subunit ribosomal RNA
Source: RNAcentral